This 301-nucleotide ribosomal RNA is filed under the name uncultured bacterium. Its description in RNAcentral is "partial 16S ribosomal RNA". It matches the Rfam family "Bacterial small subunit ribosomal RNA", at positions 509 to 807 of the family's 1533-position model. The record is from RNAcentral.
CAGCAGCCGCGGUAAUACAGAGGAUGCAAGCGUUAUCCGGAAUGAUUGGGCGUAAAGGGCUCGCAGGCGGUUUCUUAAGUCUGAUGUGAAAGCCCCCGGCUCAACCGGGGAGGGUCAUUGGAAACUGGGAAACUUGAGUGCAGAAGAGGAGAGUGGAAUUCCACGUGUAGCGGUGAAAUGCGUAGAGAUGUGGAGGAACACCAGUGGCGAAGGCGACUCUCUGGUCUGUAACUGACGCUGAGGAGCGAAAGCGUGGGGAGCGAACAGGAUUAGAUACCCCUGUAGUCCCUGUCUCUUAUAC